This 209-nucleotide ribosomal RNA is filed under the name uncultured bacterium. Its description in RNAcentral is "partial 16S ribosomal RNA". It matches the Rfam family "Bacterial small subunit ribosomal RNA", at positions 568 to 774 of the family's 1533-position model. The record is from RNAcentral.
CACGUAGGCGGCUUCUUAAGUCAGGGGUGAAAUCCUGGAGCUCAACUCCAGAACUGCCUUUGAUACUGAGGAGCUUGAGUCCGGGAGAGGUGAGUGGAACUGCGAGUGUAGAGGUGAAAUUCGUAGAUAUUCGCAAGAACACCAGUGGCGAAGGCGGCUCACUGGCCCGGUACUGACGCUGAGGUGCGAAAAGCGUGGGGAGACAAACA